This 399-nucleotide unclassified non-coding RNA is filed under the name soil metagenome. RNAcentral's name for it is "partial contains 5.8S ribosomal RNA, internal transcribed spacer 2, and large subunit ribosomal RNA". The stretch from base 1 to 122 matches the Rfam family "5.8S ribosomal RNA", at positions 35 to 154 of the family's 154-position model. The record is from RNAcentral.
GAUGAAGAACGUAGCGAAAUGCGAUACUUGGUGUGAAUUGCAGAAUCCCGUGAACCAUCGAGUCUUUGAACGCAAGUUGCGCCUCAAGCCAUUAGGUUGAGGGCACGUCUGCCUGGGCGUCACAUAUCGUUGCCUGAUGCCAGUUUCCUCGUGAUGGGUGACUGUGCAGGGCGAAUGAUGGCUUCCCGUGAGCAUUGUUGCCUCAUGGUUGGUUGAAAAUUGAGUCCUUGGUAGGGAGCGCCGUGAUAGAUGGUGGUUGAGUGACGAACGAGACCCAAUCAUGUGAGACCCCUACCGAAUUUGGCCUUCAUGACCCACAUGCGUCUUUGGAACGCUCAUGACGAGACCUCAGGUCAGGCGGGCUACCCGCUGAGUUUAAGCAUAUCAAUAAGCGGAGGA